GAUUCAUGAUAACUAUACGAAUCGCACGGCCUUGCGCCGGCGAUGGUUCAUUCAAAUUUCUUCCCUAUCAACUUUCGAUGUUUGGGUAUUGGCCAAACAUGGUUGCAACGGGUAACGGAGGGUUAGGGCUCGACCCCGGAGAAGGAGCCUGAGAAACGGCUACUACAUCCAAGGAAGGCAGCAGGCGCGCAAAUUACCCAAUCCCGACUCGGGGAGGUAGUGACAAUAAAUACUGAUACAGGGCCCUUUCGGGCCUUGUAAUUGGAAUGAGUACAAUUUAAAUCCCUUAACGAGGAACAAUUGGAGGGCAAGUCUGGUGCCAGCAGCCGCGGUAAUUCCAGCUCCAAUAGCGUAUAUUAAAGUUGUUGUGGUUAAAAAGCUCGUAGUUGAACCUUGGGCCUGGCUGGCCGGUCCGCCUCACCGCGUGCACUGGUCCGGCCGGGCCUUUCCCUCUGUGGAACCCCAUACCCUUCACUGGGCGUGGCGGGGAACCAGGACUUUUAC
This 504-nucleotide ribosomal RNA is filed under the name uncultured fungus. RNAcentral's name for it is "SSU rRNA". It matches the Rfam family "Eukaryotic small subunit ribosomal RNA", at positions 248 to 755 of the family's 1831-position model. Lineage: Eukaryota; Fungi. The record is from RNAcentral.